CAGAGACUACGACGAAGAGGACGAUGAAGACGAGGACGGCUCAGAGGGAGGAGAGGUGGGGCUGAGCUUCCAGGUGAACCGGAACGAUCAGGACGACGACGACGAUGAUGACGAAUUUGGUGAGGAAGAAGAGGAUCAGGCCGGCAUUCAGGGAGAAAAGAGGAAGCGAGAGGUGGACGACGAAGGCGAGGAUGACGAGGACGAUGAAGAAGACUAGUCCUGGUCUGUGUGUCCUGUUUCUGUCCUCCAGACCAGCGCAGAGACAGACAACAGGACCGAGUGUCUCCGCUAGUCUCCUUCAGUCCGUCUUUAUUUUUAGAUAAUAUAUAAGAAGAUUUUAUCAGAACUUCAACCUCAAGAGUCCACGUGUUUCCCUUUAAAGACCUGGUCCAGGAUCAGUCUGUUCGGUUUAGUCCGUCCCCCUUCUCCACAUCCUGAACCUGAUCCUCGUCCAAACGGUCUCACUGGCAAAGAAUCCAUCAGGCGAAAAAGACACAACUGAGAAAAAGGUCCCGCCCCUCCGCGGACUGACUUCCUGUCAGCAAAGAUGUUUCAGAAUGAUGUCUCUUCUUGUCCCCACCAUCAGCUGCUGUCCUAAAGAGCCUCCUGACAGAGUCCAGGUCCGACUACAAGACUUGUCUCUUUAGACAUAAAGAAACGGGAGGCGCCAACCGGACUGAUCCAGAUCAGACGAAUCCAGAACACAUCUGCAUCAGGACCGCUUGGUCUAGGGGAUUUCUUGUAUUCUGCUCUGGGCUUUGGACCUGCCGUCUCAGACCGCAACCCAAGUCUUGAUCCACCCGUCAUAGAUGAUCUCAGUGAACCAGGAUCCGGAGCUUCAACAACAGGAAGUGAAGAGAUUGUCAGGUCUCCAGGAGCUUCAGACCGGAACCACAAUCCAGUCCGAUCCACACCUUUUUUAAAGAAUCACCAGAACCGGUUCUUCCUGCAGCCAUAUCCGGUUCUGAACUCUAACUGGGGGGCGGGGCGGCGGCGUCCCAAAGUCUUCAGGAUCCUCCGUCCCAAAGUCUUCAGGAUCCUCCGUCCCGGUCUGAACCUUCUAGUCUCUGAACUGAUCAUGUUAGAAACAUGCAGACCUGGUGUAGCUCAGGUCCACGUACCCCCCCCCCCCAGUGUGUGUUUGGGUUGUUCUGGGGGGGGGGGGGCGGCAUUAGUUCUGAUCCUUUGUUUUUCUUUGGAGCGACUUGUUUGUUUUGUUGUUUUUGUCCCUGAACGCAACUGAGUCUCCUGUGGAUAAUGUUGGCAUCACGGGAGACCCUGAACGCCUCGUAUCGAUUCGUUAAUGUUUUGUGUUUUAAAUAAGAAAACUUUUAGUUUCAGUCGGGACGUGACCGGCGGUCUCCUUCACGGACCCUCCGUUAGUGGACUUCCUGUCAUUUAACCACGAUGACCAACGGUCGCUUUUCUCUGACUGAAUACAUUUAAAAAGGUAGAAAUUCAACGUAUUCGCAGUUUUUAAAAAAAAUUUUUUUACCUAAAAUAAAACGUCAACAUUUCUUCCCGGGGACUCAGCUGCUCGUCCUCCCCCCCCCGUAGAUCACGAUCGUUCUGACCGUUGAUCUCCUGAUGAGUCGGGUUUGAUUCUGAAGAAGCUCAACUUUGACUUUUAACUAAACUGCUUUGAAGUUUUAGCUUGUCUCUCGUUUUACACUCUUAAAAACACAACGCACCGCUUUUAGAUUCUCACGGCUGAAACAGGUUGAAGUAGUACUGUAAUACUUCAGCGUACAAGUACAUGCAUCAAGUGUGUAUUUAACUUCUUCAUAAUUAGAUUUAAUCAUCUUUAAACUCUGAAACAAACACUUUUACGUCUGUUGACAGUUGGAAGUGAGAGCAGCUUGACCAAUCAGAGCCCUGUGGGCAGCUAGGGGCGGGGCGUGUGUGUGUUAGCUUAGAUGCUACGGUAGCAUCAGCUCCAUCAGAGGAUGUCAUUCAAACACUGAACAUGUUCAUUGGUUCUUCUGGCUGCUGUAAGAGUUUGAUUGACAGCUGGUUCAUCCAAUCACCUGCCAGCUAUUCCUCCUGCAGUCUAUUUAAAAGUGGGCGUGUUGUGUUUUUAGGAGUGUAAGAGGUGAAAGGUCGCAUCGGUCGGUUUGAACCGUUUUUUAAGGCAAUAUUGUAAAUAGACUGCUCAGUUUCAAGUUUGUUUUUAUUUUGUAAUGAAUUUAAAUAAUUUUACAGAUGUGGUGUUCUUUUGCAGCGAGGUGAUAGUUGACCCCCAUCUUUUACCUGUGACCCCGCCCCUCUCCUCUGGGGGGGGGGGGGGGUUGCUGUGUUUGACUGUGUGAUGUAACUAAACACAUUGAGGGGUUUUAAAUAAAAAAAAAAACUAAAGGAACAGGAAGUUGUGUUAAGGAGAAGUUUGGGGGAAAUAAAGAGGUGGAGCUCUGAGGAGGCGGAGUCUCUCAGGACGCGCUGGGAGCCUGUGAGGCGAGCAGCAGGGUCCAGAAACCCUCGACUCCACAGGUGAGUGUCAGCAGGAGACUUGUAAUCAUCAUUGAAGCACUGGUGGAUCACAUGACGGUGGAUCACGUGACGGUGGAUCACAUGACGGUGGUUCUCAGGACGUCCUGUAGGCGGCGCUGCUGUCUGUUGCUCUGCUGCUGAAACAACGUGAUGAAGAUUAAACAGGUCACAGAUGAUCUAUAGUUCAGUCCUUGUGCACAUUUAUAUAUAAUAUUAGAUGUUUCUUUACGUUAACUAAAAUAAGUCAAACUUACAUUGUAAAGAUGUGUUGACUCGGCUAAAUAUGAAGUUUAAUUCAAUCGUUUCCUGAAGUUCAGAUUAUUUAAAUCGGCUACAUGUUAAAAACUUAAGACAGUUUUGAACAAAUCAUUGAGAUUAGUUCAGCUCUGAUUGAUGAAGCACGAAGGGAGCUCAUGUUAGGAGACGAGGUGAUGAGGAGAGGAGACGAGGAGCACCCUUUGACCUCUGAGCCUCCUCCUCAGAUUUAACAUGGAUGACACUGGUAAAUUGUCCUUUAAUGGAUGUAACAGCUGUGACCACAGACACUUACACACUCACACACACACACUACAGUGUACAAAUACUCUGUUACAAGUAAAAGCACAGAUUUACAAAUGUAAGUUCAGAUGUAUUAACUUUAACAAAAUGUAGUUAAAGUAUUGAUGUAGAAUAAUGUCUCCUUUGGGACCAGGGGGUCAGGGGUCCUGGAAAAAAAGUGUGUGUGUGUGCUGAAAGCUUUUGGUCGUCAUGUUAUUUUUAUAACACAGAAACAUUAAAACACAGCUGUGCUGUUAUUGGACAGAUACAGCAGGUCGAUGACAUCACUCUGACCUCUGUGCUGCAGUGUGAUGUCACUGUUUCUUUGUGUUGAUAAUAAACAGGAAGUAUUUUUAGUUCUGUUGCUACGAGAGCUUCUCCUCUUCCUCCUGCUUCUCCUCUUCUUCCUUCUGCUUCUGCCUCCUGCUUCUCCUCCUCUUCUGCCU
Long non-coding RNA from Anarrhichthys ocellatus (wolf-eel), 3470 nucleotides. RefSeq lists it as uncharacterized. Lineage: Eukaryota; Metazoa; Chordata; Actinopteri; Perciformes; Anarhichadidae. The record is from RefSeq and is a predicted model, not a curated record. The transcript has 4 exons.